CCUACGGGUGGCAGCAGUGAGGAAUAUUGGUCAAUGGACGAGAGUCUGAACCAGCCAAGUAGCGUGAAGGCUGACUGCCAUAUGGGUUGUAAACUUCUUUUAUAUGGGAAUAAAAUGUUCCACGUGUGGGAUUUUGUAUGUACCAUAUGAAUAAGCAUCGGCUAACUGCGUGCCAGCAGCAGCGGUAAUACGGAGGGUCCGAGCGUUCUCCGGAUUUUUUGGGUUGAAAGGGCGCGUAGGUGGAUUGUUACGGAAGGUGUGAAAGGUUGCGGCUCAACCGUAAAAUUGCAGUUGAAACUGGCAGUCUUGAGUACAGGAGAGGUGGGCGGAAUGCGUGGUGUAGCGGGGAAAUGCUUAGAUAUCACGAAGAACUACGAUUGCGAAGGCAGUUCACUGGACUGCAACUGACACUGAGGCUCGAAAGUGUGGGUAUCAAACAGGAUUAGAUACCCGAGUAGUC
Molecule: ribosomal RNA, 460 nt
Filed under: uncultured bacterium
Lineage: Bacteria
Description: partial 16S ribosomal RNA
Rfam family: Bacterial small subunit ribosomal RNA
Source: RNAcentral